CUUGUGAUUUUAUUUUACCUUUUCUUGUUUUGUUCUUAGAAGAUACAUAUAUAAACUGAAAAUUCUAUUACUAUUAUUAUUUUUUUCAAUGGCUAAUUAGCAAUGCUCUUGAUCGAAAAUAAAUAAUGUCGAUCUUGUGGCCUCUUGGCGGAAAAACACUGUCAUACCAAGCCACCACAAACUUGUGCAAAAUACAUUAAAAACAAAGGGCUAAAAGGCCAAGCAUGAUAUAGAUUUUCUGCAAACUGACUUCAUCAGCAAAAGAUGUCAUGAGAAAGCUUGACAAACUAAGGGAAAGGCUAUAGAAAAAAUGCUGAAGCGCCAUUACAAAUUGCCUUCGUCCUGCAAGAAGGAGAGAAUGGAAGCGCAAAUGCACAAGUUACAACAUAAGAAAACUAUGUGAUGAAUUGAUUUAUACUAAGACAAGAAAUACUCAACAUGAUUAUGUGAUAAGAGACACCUCAAGGCCUUACAAUCACAGUGGAAACUAAUUUUCGUGAUCCUUGCACAUGAGGAUAUCACAACAAUUUCAAGUAUAAAUAAUUUUUCUAUCACUUUGAAUAAUCGCCAAAUAUAUAAAGAAAAAUGACAUCCACUCUAUCACUAUUAGCAUUAAUUCCGUGAGUGUCAUUUUUCAAUAUAAUUGAUGAAAUUAAUUUGAAAUACAUAUAUCCAGUACUAAAUAAACCUGCUUCGGUGGAAAGUGGAAACAUUAUGUAAACACUGCAGUGAAAGAAACUACGAACUUAUAUAAUGGGGACAUAGCCUACAGUACACACAUUUAAAUUUUUUGACCAUAUGAGCAUUCCUAGAGAAAAAACAUAGAGUAAGAGUUGAAGGAAAAGUCCAGUUUACUUUUACAGGUUUAAAC
This 871-nucleotide long non-coding RNA is filed under the name Olea europaea subsp. europaea. The record is from RNAcentral. Lineage: Eukaryota; Viridiplantae; Streptophyta; Magnoliopsida; Lamiales; Oleaceae.